This 1039-nucleotide ribosomal RNA is filed under the name Staphylococcus aureus. Its description in RNAcentral is "partial 23S ribosomal RNA". It matches the Rfam family "Bacterial large subunit ribosomal RNA", at positions 388 to 1435 of the family's 2925-position model. The record is from RNAcentral. Lineage: Bacteria; Bacillati; Bacillota; Bacilli; Caryophanales; Staphylococcaceae.
UUGUCUCUCUUGAGUGGAUCCUGAGUACGACGGAGCACGUGAAAUUCCGUCGGAAUCUGGGAGGACCAUCUCCUAAGGCUAAAUACUCUCUAGUGACCGAUAGUGAACCAGUACCGUGAGGGAAAGGUGAAAAGCACCCCGGAAGGGGAGUGAAAUAGAACCUGAAACCGUGUGCUUACAAGUAGUCAGAGCCCGUUAAUGGGUGAUGGCGUGCCUUUUGUAGAAUGAACCGGCGAGUUACGAUUUGAUGCAAGGUUAAGCAGUAAAUGUGGAGCCGUAGCGAAAGCGAGUCUGAAUAGGGCGUUUAGUAUUUGGUCGUAGACCCGAAACCAGGUGAUCUACCCUUGGUCAGGUUGAAGUUCAGGUAACACUGAAUGGAGGACCGAACCGACUUACGUUGAAAAGUGAGCGGAUGAACUGAGGGUAGCGGAGAAAUUCCAAUCGAACCUGGAGAUAGCUGGUUCUCUCCGAAAUAGCUUUAGGGCUAGCCUCAAGUGAUGAUUAUUGGAGGUAGAGCACUGUUUGGACGAGGGGCCCCUCUCGGGUUACCGAAUUCAGACAAACUCCGAAUGCCAAUUAAUUUAACUUGGGAGUCAGAACAUGGGUGAUAAGGUCCGUGUUCGAAAGGGAAACAGCCCAGACCACCAGCUAAGGUCCCAAAAUAUAUGUUAAGUGGAAAAGGAUGUGGCGUUGCCCAGACAACUAGGAUGUUGGCUUAGAAGCAGCCAUCAUUUAAAGAGUGCGUAAUAGCUCACUAGUCGAGUGACACUGCGCCGAAAAUGUACCGGGGCUAAACAUAUUACCGAAGCUGUGGAUUGUCCUUUGGACAAUGGUAGGAGAGCGUUCUAAGGGCGUUGAAGCAUGAUCGUAAGGACAUGUGGAGCGCUUAGAAGUGAGAAUGCCGGUGUGAGUAGCGAAAGACGGGUGAGAAUCCCGUCCACCGAUUGACUAAGGUUUCCAGAGGAAGGCUCGUCCGCUCUGGGUUAGUCGGGUCCUAAGCUGAGGCCGACAGGCGUAGGCGAUGGAUAACAGGUUGAUA